RNAcentral lists this ribosomal RNA (652 nucleotides) under uncultured Lachnospiraceae bacterium. RNAcentral describes it as "bacterial SSU rRNA". It matches the Rfam family "Bacterial small subunit ribosomal RNA", at positions 76 to 737 of the family's 1533-position model. The record is from RNAcentral. Lineage: Bacteria; Bacillati; Bacillota; Clostridia; Lachnospirales; Lachnospiraceae.
UUCUUCGGAUUGAAGUUUUUGUGACUGAGUGGCGGACGGGUGAGUAACGCGUGGGUAACCUGCCUCAUACAGGGGGAUAACAGUUAGAAAUGACUGCUAAUACCGCAUAAGCGCACGGUGCUGCAUGGCACAGUGUGAAAAACUCCGGUGGUAUGAGAUGGACCCGCGUCUGAUUAGCUAGUUGGUGGGGUAACGGCCUACCAAGGCGACGAUCAGUAGCCGGCCUGAGAGGGUGAACGGCCACAUUGGGACUGAGACACGGCCCAAACUCCUACGGGAGGCAGCAGUGGGGAAUAUUGCACAAUGGGGGAAACCCUGAUGCAGCGACGCCGCGUGAGCGAAGAAGUAUUUCGGUAUGUAAAGCUCUAUCAGCAGGGAAGAAAAUGACGGUACCUGACUAAGAAGCACCGGCUAAAUACGUGCCAGCAGCCGCGGUAAUACGUAUGGUGCAAGCGUUAUCCGGAUUUACUGGGUGUAAAGGGAGCGUAGACGGUUGUGUAAGUCUGAUGUGAAAGCCCGGGGCUCAACCCCGGGACCGCAUUGGAAACUAUGUAACUAGAGUGUCGGAGAGGUAAGCGGAAUUCCUAGUGUAGCGGUGAAAUGCGUAGAUAUUAGGAGGAACACCAGUGGCGAAGGCGGCUUACUGGACGAU